CGUGUAGGCGGGAAGAUAAGUCGGGUGUGAAAUCCCUGGGCUCAACCUAGGAACUGCAUCCGAAACUGCCUUUCUGGAGUGAUGGAGAGGAGAGCGGAAUUCCCGGUGUAGAGGUGAAAUUCGUAGAUAUCGGGAGGAACACCAGUGGCGAAGGCGGCUCUCUGGCCAUCAACUGACGCUGAGACGCGAAAGCGUGGGGAGCAAACAGGAUUAGAUACCCUGGUAGUCCACGCUGUAAACGAUGAGUGCUAGGUGUUGUGGGUAUUGACCCCCGCGGUGCCGUAGCUAACGCGUUAAGCACUCCGCCUGGGGAGUACGGCCGCAAGGCUAAA
Molecule: ribosomal RNA, 332 nt
Filed under: uncultured Pseudomonadota bacterium
Lineage: Bacteria; Pseudomonadati; Pseudomonadota
Description: bacterial SSU rRNA
Rfam family: Bacterial small subunit ribosomal RNA
Source: RNAcentral